AUUGAACGCUGGCGGAAUGCUUUACACAUGCAAGUCGAACGGCAGCACGGACUUCGGUCUGGUGGCGAGUGGCGAACGGGUGAGUAACAUAUCGGAACGUAUCCAAUAAUGGGGGAUAACGAGUCGAAAGAUUCGCUAAUACCGCAUACGCCCUACGGGGGAAAGCUGGGGACCUUCGGGCCUGGCGUUAAUGGAGCGGCCGAUAUCUGAUUAGCUAGUUGGUGAGGGAAAGGCUCACCAAGGCGACGAUCAGUAGCUGGUCUGAGAUGACGACCAUCACCACUGGAACUGAGACACGGUCCAGACUCCUACGGGAGGCAGCAGUGGGGAAUUUUGGACAGUGAGCGCAAGCCUGAUCCAGCCAUUCCGCGUGAGUGAAGAAGGCGUUCGGGUUGUAAAGCUCUUUCGCAAGGGAAGAAAACUUAGCCACUAACAUUGGUUGAGGUUGACGGUACCUUGAUAAGAAGCACCGGCUAACUACGUGCCAGCCGCCGCAGUAA
RNAcentral lists this ribosomal RNA (500 nucleotides) under uncultured bacterium. RNAcentral describes it as "partial 16S ribosomal RNA". It matches the Rfam family "Bacterial small subunit ribosomal RNA", at positions 30 to 523 of the family's 1533-position model. The record is from RNAcentral.